AAGCUACACCAACUCACGUUAAACGCUGUUCUCCUUUUCGACCAUGUUCUCCUCUUAAAUCUUUUCCGGAGAUUCUCUUUUGCUGUGGUUUUGCAUAAACCCUAGACGACGAAUUCGAAUUCUGCUUUCACAAUAAAUUUGGGAUCACGGUUAUACGUCGAUUUAGUAGAAACUUCAGGAUCGAAGUUCGGUUGGGUGUGGAGAAGUUGGGGAAGUGGUAGUGAAUUAGGCUGCAGGUUCUGUUCCUAUUAGGUUUUUGCUUUGUUAGAGGUGGGAGGUUUUGCUAGAGGCAGCGACUGGAUUAUCGUGUGUUGUCAUAUAUUCACUACUGAAUGGGUAUAGUUCACACCUGGAAUUAUUAUUUGGCACGUUCGAUUGGAAUACUAAAUAGUUUCUGCCAAUCUCGGCUACUGAGGGUGCAACAUUUGAAGGAAGUGGACUUUUGUGCAACUCAACUGUUGUUUUAAGUAGGCGAGGUAAAAUAUAGAGGGACUUCCUUUGUUUGAUGGUAGUAUUUCUAUGGGUUCAGCAAUACUCAAUUAUGUGCUAAAUCUGUGGCCUUUUUCGGGCCUCAGAGUUGAUGAUCUGAAGUUAUCUGAUCGAUUGGUUAAAAGACUUUCGCUUCCUGAACACACCCAGCCGUUUGUUUUCGCUAUUAGUGAGCCAGAAAAUGAGGCCAUUGUAUAUAUUCUUGCUGCACAGAAUUUGUCUGAAAGAUCAGCUAGGGAUGCUGAAUAUUUAAUAAAGGAAGUACGACCUGAUGCAGUUGUUGCUUUAGUUGGUCAUAAUACAUUGUCUGAAAUUCAAGAACAUGAAAUGGUUGAAGGUACGGGUGAUCUGGUUCCAACUUCAGUUUUUAGAGUUUUGAUGAGGUGUUUUAUGGACAAAACAAACAAAGACAGGUACGAAAAUCUUGCUGGAAACUUGGUUCUGAAAGAAAUUUUUGGUAUUGGCUUCUAUGGGCACUUCUUUGUUGCGAAGAUGUUGGCACAGGAAAUUGGUUCUUCAUUCUCGGUUAUUGAAUCUCCCAUUAUGAAGUCAGCUGGAGCUGAAAUUGAUUCAUCUUCUGACACUAGUUUGUCUAGUAAUAAACUUCAAACUUUGGCAUUGCGGCCAAGUAGCCUGGUUCCACAGGAUUGGGGUUCCCUAGUUGGUAAAUUUCGAAGACUUCACAUUACCAGUGAUAUCCAGUCUCAGAUGAUCAAGUUGGUAUGUCCAUUUUUAUCCCAGUCAUUUAUAAACUUGAGUCCUUUUGGGUCUCCUGUGGAUAGAGAGUCAUGUAUAAUGGAGCCUAGGUGCAAUUAUUGCCCCCCACCAUUUGCACAAACGGUUUAUCCCUUACUCAUGGAUCUUCAUGAUAUUUUUUCUGAUAUUCCAUCUAUGGGUCGUGCUCUAGCAUAUGCACAGAAAAUGUUUCUUGACGUGGGUACAGGAGAGGGGGUUGAUGCUGAUUUAUUGUCUGAAGUUUAUACCUUCCGUAUUGCAGUGGAAGGGUUGAGGAUUGCUCUGAAUAAUGCUGGUAGACUCCCAAUCCAGAAAUUAGGGAAAUCUAUGCCGGGCAAGAUUGAAUUUCAUGAGCUGUCAGUUGAGGAUAAAUCCCAUUGUCUUCUUGCACAAACCCUUCGAAGUCAGGCAAAAAGAUUUAAGACAGUAGUGGCAGUAGUGGAUGCUAGUAGCUUAGCUGGUCUUAGGAAGUUCUGGAACACUCCGAUCCCCGGAGAAGUUAAGGAUAUGGUUGAUGAACUUAUUGUAUGCCAAGAAGUUGAUGCAGAAAGCACAGAUGAUAAAAAGAAGCGGCUGUUAUCUGGUAAACCUGUAGUUGCAGUUGCUUCCGGUGCUACUGCUGUUCUGGGGGUGUCUUCCCUUUCUAAAGCUGUACCAUUGUCAUCUAUUGUGAAGGUUUUCAUGUUUAAUGUUCCAUCAUCUUUAAAGAUUUUUCUUACACAAACACAUAAAGCAACUUUAUUUGCACUAACCAAGAUUCUUGGUCCAUCAAAAUUUGUGGCUCCGGGCUUUGCAAGUUCUGGGGCUAAAGCAUCCACCGCAUUCAAGGCGGCUGCUUCUGCGGAGAAAAUUCGUGCCGUUACUCAUAGUGUUAUAGCUUCUGCGGAAAAGACUAGCUUAUCAGCUAUGAGAACUGCAUUCUACGAGAUAAUGAGGAAACGGCGUGUUCAGCCAAUUGGUAGAAAGCCAUUGGCUACCUUUGGCCUUAGUGUAGCGAGCUGUGCUGGGUUGCUUGCAUAUGGUGAUGGAAUUGAAUGUGCUGCUGAAUCUUUUCCUGCAGCCCCUUCCAUCGCUAGCUUAGGCCGUGGUAUCCAAAAUUUGCAGCAGGUGUCUCAAUCCAUCGGACAUUCAUGUGGAAAUAAUAUUCAAAAAGCUAUAGAGUCACUGAUGCACAGGUUCCAAAAACUGAAGAUCCAGUAGAGUGAGAAUCUAUGACUUCUGUUGUAUAUUAUCCUAGCUGUCAGCGGUGGUGAAUUCAUUAACGAUCAUUCAUCCCAUUAUAUGGAGAUUCAGGUGCUUGGUGUGCCCUCUGAGCAUGUGUAAGCCCUUUCUUGUGGCGCCAGCUGUACACAAACAUAGGUGGGUCAGCUCUCAUGUGGUCCAUUACAUUAUGGUUGAGCAAACCAUGUCAUUUUCUCUCCAGAUUCAGUAUUGGCAGAUGCUUUUGCAAGUUUUCUCUACACCAGUAACCUAUACAUGUACGUGUCCAAGUGUCAGACACAGGCCUUUUGUGAAACGUUUGCAUGAUUUUGGCCCCAAAGAAGUGCCCAAGAGUCGUGCCAAUGUCGAGUGUCGAGCAUCCGGCAUUUAUACUUGAGGUACUGUUGGGUACAUUAAGGGGGCUUUCAUUUUGGGUUCUUAGAAAUGGGAAAGAGAAUUGUAAAUUUUCUGCUAUGUCCUAGUGUCCUACCUGAACUUCCAUGCAGUACUGUUGGAUAUAUUAAAGCAAUUUGCAAUCCAGGAAACUCUUAGUACUACUGUUUUAGAGUAAGAAGAACCGCUUGGGCUUUACUAAGAUCCCAUUUUGGAUUCUUUCGUUCUUCCCUUUGGCUAGGACUUUGGUGCUUAAUGCUUUCUUCUGGGUGGUUGAAAGGUAUUCUUUAUCGUGUAUGUUUUUCUGAGGUUGUAACUGACAACUAGGAAACAUGCAUUUGUCUUUAUUAAAAUGAAAAUGUUAGCUCCAUUACUCUGGUAUUUAGGCUUUUCUAUCCUCUGUAUCUCAUUACUUAGUUCUUCACUAUUGACCUUUAUGACAGCCUGGCAGGUGUAUGCAUUUUCAUUAUAGCAGCUACUGAACCAGAAAAAAAAAGGACAAACAAAGGUACUUGAUCACUACGCCCGAGUUCAGCAACAGUAAAACUUAGCAUGAAGAUGAGGAGGAUGAGAGUGAAGAAACAGCUGACCAGUUUGGCCAUAGUUGUAUUAUAUGCACUUGAGCUGUGUAGUGUUUGUUUUAUGAGC
This is an RNA transcript of Spinacia oleracea (spinach), 3465 nucleotides long. RefSeq lists it as uncharacterized. The transcript is spliced from 7 exons. Lineage: Eukaryota; Viridiplantae; Streptophyta; Magnoliopsida; Caryophyllales; Amaranthaceae. The record is from RefSeq and is a predicted model, not a curated record.